GUUUGAUGUCUUCACAUCCCUAUGAACAAUGGGUGGAUUGACUUCAUUAUGUAGGUAUUCAAUUCCUCUUGCAGACUGCAGAGAGAUCUUCAAUCUCAAGUUCCAGUCCAGAGGCGGGAGCUCCCCAUGUAAAUGGUCAUGAAGAGUGCCAUGAGGCAUGAACUCAUAAACCAGCAACCUCUCCCCCAUUUCAGCACAGUAACCCAAUAAGUUCACUAUAUUGUUAUGCCUUAUACUGCAUAAGAUUUCUAAUUCCGCUUCAAAAUCCCGACUAUUUGUGUGGAUUAUAGUGGCAGCAUUAGCUCUCUUAACUGCUACUUGCCUACCAUCAGAUAGAACAGCCUUGUAAACAAAACCAAAAGUUCCUCUUCCAAGUUCAUUGAAUUCCUUGAAACCAUGUGUUACAUCUUUCAGUUCUGAAAGCCGGAACACCUGGGUCUCUCCAAUGGUUAUGGAGAGAGGAAGUUGUGGAUUGGGGUCAAGGUUAGUCUCCACCACUGGCUUAACAACACAAAAACCACACCCAUUUUUUCUGUUUUCUUCUUUUUUAGUUUUGACAUUCUGGGGAAUGAGACACCACCCAAUUAAAACUAAUAAGGAAGCCGAAACAGAGGAACCAAUGAUGACUGCUAGUUUCUUUAUCUCUUGUUGCUCCUGCUGCUUAAUCCCUGAUGAAGAAGGAAGCCCACAAAUGUCCCAGCAGGAGCUAUUUUGACAAAGUGAACAAGCAGUACAUAUCCUAUCUGCAUUCUGACGACACAUACUAGAGGGGAAAUAACCUUGGGAACAAUUUGUGCCACAAGGCAAGCAAAUCUUCAAGUCCUUUCUAACACAUAAACUUGUCAACUCUGGUUCAUUCAGGAUGCUUGCAUUGAAUGCAAACUUCCCACUGGGACAUGUUCCUGGUGAACAAAUGCCCGGACUACAUAACUGCAAAGGAGGGCUGUAAUCUGGAGGGGACUGCCCAUGAACACUCCAGCAAUCAAGAACUAAGUCAACUUCUCUAACUCCACAGGUAGUGUAAUCUGAUGAAGCAAAAGUCAUAAACCCAGAACCUUUAGGAACUGAUGACAGAUCAAUAUUCCCCCAACAAUAAAUUCCAUGAUUAUCUUCUUGGACUCCACAGAAAUGAUGUGCCCCUGCUGUUAAAUCCACAAAUCGAGUUCCAAUCGGUGGAGAACCAAACUCAUUAGCAUCACCCCAGCAUUCUAUUUCACUAGAUGGAGUUUUAACCCCACAAACAGAGUUCCUCCCUGAGGCUAAAAUCUCAAAAUCACCAGAAACAACUGGAACUCCUAAAUUAGUUGACCUGGGUCCCCAACAAACCACACCACUUUGCUUACUAACUCCACAACUAAAUCCAUCUCCAGAAACAAUCCUCCCAAAAACAAGACUAUUAACAUAUGAGUUGCGAAAUGAGCCAGUUGUUUGAUAAAAUUCCCAACAAUCAAUGUUACCAUAUUCUACACUGGAAUAGUAAGAUCCUUUAACAGCACAGGCAUGAUAUUUUCCAGCAGCUAUUUGUGAGUAAGAAUUGGUUUUGAAACGAAUUGGGACAAGAUUUUUACCUGGAUUUGACAAGCUGAAACAAUAUGCCUGAGAGGAGUUUGAUGUAAUGCCGCAAAGGAACCCCUCCCCGCCAGAUAGAGAUGCCAUGGGUGGAAGAGAACUAAAAUAUGCUGUUGAUGAUGAAACUGAAAAAUUAUCAUCUUUAUCCCAACAUAUGAUUCCUUGCUUUCCACCAGCAUCAAUAGCACAGAAGAACCCAUUUUCGCCAAAUGCAGCUGCUAUUGGCCCCGAUGAUCCGUACCCAAAAGCAGCGAUUGGUAGAGAGACAAGCAAAAUAAUGACAAGAAAUAGGGGUGAGCCAUAGAUACAUCUUCGAAGUGGCAUAUCUAGUGGUUAUUGGGUUUUAGAUAAUCAAGCGCGAGUACCUCAUAAGCUAAAAAUUGCUGGUGGACUCAGAAGAUGCAAUUGUUUGCUGUUGUGAUGGGUUUUAGCCUUUUUUUAUUCGGAAAUGAGUGGAGAUUCA
RNAcentral lists this unclassified non-coding RNA (2032 nucleotides) under Hevea brasiliensis (rubber tree). The record is from RNAcentral. Lineage: Eukaryota; Viridiplantae; Streptophyta; Magnoliopsida; Malpighiales; Euphorbiaceae.